This 497-nucleotide ribosomal RNA is filed under the name uncultured bacterium. RNAcentral's name for it is "partial 16S ribosomal RNA". It matches the Rfam family "Bacterial small subunit ribosomal RNA", at positions 28 to 507 of the family's 1533-position model. The record is from RNAcentral.
GAUGAACGCCGGCGGCGUGCCUAAUACAUGCAAGUCGAGCGAACGGACGAGAAGCUUGCUUCUCUGAUGUUAGCGGCGGACGGGUGAGUAACACGUGGAUAACCUACCUAUAAGACUGGGAUAACUUCGGGAAACCGUAGCUAAUACCGGAUAAUAUUUUGAACCGCAUGGUUCAAAAGUGAAAGACGGUCUUGCUGUCACUUAUAGAUGGAUCCGCGCUGCAUUAGCUAGUUGGUAAGGUAACGGCUUACCAAGGCAACGAUGCAUAGCCGACCUGAGAGGGUGAUCGGCCACACUGGGACUGAGACACGGUCCAGACUCCUACGGGAGGCAGCAGUAGGGAAUCUUCCGCAAUGGGCGAAAGCCUGACGGAGCAACGCCGCGUGAGUGAUGAAGGUCUUCGGAUCGUAAAACUCUGUUAUUAGGGAAGAACAUAUGUGUAAGUAACUGUGCACAUCUUGACGGUACCUAAUCAGAAAGCCACGGCUAACUACGUG